GGGAGACUCCGGAUGCCAGACGCGCUCGGCGGCGGCGGCGGCGACCGCGCCUGAUUCAUUGCGCCAAAGCUGCAGAUGCGACCUCCCGCCUGCGCCCGGUGCCCCGGCCCGCGCCGGGCCGCGCGCGCGCCUGGAGAGAUGGGGCUGCGGGGUGGGGGGGGACCGCGCAAUUUGUAGGCGCUUUCCUCUCCCCACAAAAGGCGGGCCCUGGCCCCCCGGGGCCAGGUCCCCUGUCUCCAGCUCCCCGGGCUGCGCUAAUUAGCUUUCUCCGGGGGCGCCACGCGGCGUGAGGGGCGGCAAUUUCCCGGCUGGGCUGCGGGGGAAGCACUCCUGCCGCCUGGGAAGGUGAAAUGGGAAACUCGAUUCAAAGAGAGCGUUCCUCCCCCCCCCCUCCCGCCAAGCUCCGUAGAAAACGGGUUUGAAAUUCCUCCUCCUUUUUUUUUUUUUUUUUUAUUUAUAGUGCACGGUCUCCAUGGCAACCGCGGAGGAGGUCACGGUAGCUGGGCCCCCGCGCGUCACCCCGCGCCUCGCCGGCUGCAGGCGCCCGGAUUGCGGCCUCCCAGGCGCCGUGGCCCGCGUGGACCCAGCUCUGAGUUCUCCGCCCCCGCUCCGCCCUGCCAGAGACUCAGGCCCCAUACCAUAUGACUCUGCCGGGUCCCAGCCGGGAAUAUCGCACCUGGGCACCAGUGCGCUAAGCUAUGCCUCUGUCCCCGGGCUCUGGCACGCGGGACUGCGCCUCGAAACACGUGUCCAACCCCGGGAUGGGAACAUGUGCGGCAAGACGCCACUGAGGGCCUCAGCACUUGUGGAUGCCCUAGGGAAUCGACCUGGAUUGGCGCACCACUCUGGAGCUCUUGCCAAGACGGCACCACCCGUGGCUAAGAAGGCUGACUGUGGUGUCAGAACCGAACGUUCCUAAUGAUUUACUAGCUGUGUGACUUUAAGCAAGUUACAACCUUUCUGCGUCUCAGUUUGUUCAUCAGAGAAAUGGAAUUGUUGUGAGACUAAAAAGUCC
Molecule: long non-coding RNA, 1015 nt
Filed under: Marmota monax (woodchuck)
Lineage: Eukaryota; Metazoa; Chordata; Mammalia; Rodentia; Sciuridae
Source: RNAcentral